This 253-nucleotide ribosomal RNA is filed under the name uncultured bacterium. RNAcentral's name for it is "partial 16S ribosomal RNA". It matches the Rfam family "Bacterial small subunit ribosomal RNA", at positions 524 to 776 of the family's 1533-position model. The record is from RNAcentral.
UACGUAGGGUGCGAGCGUUAAUCGGAAUUACUGGGCUUAAAGCGUGCGCAGGCGGUGAUGUAAGACAGGUGUGAAAUCCCCGGGCUUAACCUGGGAACUGCAUUUGUGACUGCAUCGCUGGAGUGCGGCAGAGGGGGAUGGAAUUCCGCGUGUAGCAGUGAAAUGCGUAGAUAUGCGGAGGAACACCGAUGGCGAAGGCAAUCCCGUGGGCCUGCACUGACGCUCAUGCACGAAAGCGUGGGGAGCAAACAGG